GGGGCGAUAGCUCAGUUGGGAGAGCACCUGCCUUACAAGCAGGGGGUCUCUGGUUCGAGCCCGGAUCGCUCCACCA
Molecule: transfer RNA, 76 nt
Filed under: Vibrio parahaemolyticus
Lineage: Bacteria; Pseudomonadati; Pseudomonadota; Gammaproteobacteria; Vibrionales; Vibrionaceae
Description: tRNA-Val
Rfam family: tRNA
About the family: Transfer RNA (tRNA) molecules are approximately 80 nucleotides in length.
Source: RNAcentral